GACGAACCAUGCAAACGUUAUUCGGAAUCACUGGGCUUAAAGCGUGCGUAGGCGGUUCAGAAAGUUGGGUGUGAAAUGCCUCGGCUCAACCGAGGAAUUGCGCCCAAAACUACUGGGCUUGAGGGAGUUAGAGGUGAGCGGAACUCACGGUGGAGCGGUGAAAUGCGUUGAUAUCGUGAGGAACACCGGAGGCGAAAGCGGCUCACUGGGGCUUCACUGACGCUGAGGCACGAAAGCUAGGGGAGCAAACGGG
RNAcentral lists this ribosomal RNA (253 nucleotides) under uncultured bacterium. RNAcentral describes it as "partial 16S ribosomal RNA". It matches the Rfam family "Bacterial small subunit ribosomal RNA", at positions 524 to 776 of the family's 1533-position model. The record is from RNAcentral.